RNAcentral lists this ribosomal RNA (678 nucleotides) under Halobacillus sp. CIBA BW5. Its description in RNAcentral is "bacterial SSU rRNA". It matches the Rfam family "Bacterial small subunit ribosomal RNA", at positions 159 to 821 of the family's 1533-position model. Lineage: Bacteria; Bacillati; Bacillota; Bacilli; Caryophanales; Bacillaceae. The record is from RNAcentral.
GGGGCUAAGGCCGGGGAAUACUUUUCUUCGCCUGAAGAUGAGUUGAAAGAUGGUUUCUCCCUAUGACUUACAGAUGGGCCCGCGGCGCAGUAUCUACUUGGUGAGGAAACCGCUCUGCUCGGAAACGAUGCUCAGCCGACCUGGGAGGGAGAUCGGCCCCACAGUCCCUGAGACACGGCCCAGACUCCUACGGGAGGCAUGGGUAGGGAAUCUUCCGCAAUGGGCGAAAGGCUGACGGAACGCCUUCGCGUGAACGAUGAAGGUCUUCGGAUCGUAAAGUUCUGUUGUCAGGGAAGAACAAAUACCGUGCGAAUAGAGCGGUACCUUGACGGUACCUGACGAGGAAGCCCCGGCUAACUACGUGCCGUGAGCCGCGGUAAUACAUAUGGGGCAAGCGUUGUCCGGAAUUAUUGGGCGUAAAGCGCGCGCAGGCGGUUCCUUACUCCUGAUGUGAAAUGCCACGGCUCCUCCGUGGAGGGUCACUGGAAACUGGGGAACUAAUUUCCAGAAGAGGAGAGUGGAAUUCCACGUGUAGCGGUGAAAUGCGUAGAUAUGUGGAGGAACUGCACUGACACUGGCGACUCUGUGGUCUGUUUCUGACACUAAACUGCAUUAGCUACCGUAGCAGACAGGAUUAGAUACGCUGGUAGCCCACUGCUCAAACGAUGAGUGCUAGGU